This 84-nucleotide transfer RNA is filed under the name Candidatus Riesia sp. RNAcentral's name for it is "tRNA-Leu". It matches the Rfam family "tRNA". Rfam says of the family: Transfer RNA (tRNA) molecules are approximately 80 nucleotides in length. Their secondary structure includes four short double-helical elements and three loops (D, anti-codon, and T loops). Lineage: Bacteria; Pseudomonadati; Pseudomonadota; Gammaproteobacteria; Enterobacterales; Enterobacteriaceae. The record is from RNAcentral.
GGCCGGGUGAUGGAACGGUAGACAUGCCGGUUUUAGAAACCGGUGCCCUAGGGUGUGAGGGUUCGAAUCCCUCUCCGGCUACCA